AUACAAUGCCGGCGAGUGGCGCACGGGUGCGUAACACGUAUGCAACCUACCCUAUACUGGGGCAUAACCUUUAGAAAUGAGGGCUAAUACUCCAUGUAAUUAUUUUGAGGCAUCUUGAGAUAAUUAAAGAUUUAUCGGUAUAGGAUGGGCAUGCGUCCCAUUAGUUAGUUGGUAGGGUAACGGCCUACCAAGACUGUGAUGGGUAGGGGUCCUGAGAGGGUUAACCCCCACACUGGUACUGAGACACGGACCAGACUCCUACGGGAGGCAGCAGUAAGGAAUAUUGGGCAAUGGCCGUAAGGCUGACCCAGCCAUGCCGCGUGCAGGAAGACGGCCUUAUGGGUUGUAAACUGCUUUUAUGUGGGAAUAACCGUAGCUAUGCGUAGCUACCUGCAAGUACCAUAUGAAUAAGCAUCGGCUAACUCCGUGCCAGCAGCCGCGGUAAUACGGAGGAUGCGAGCGUUAUCCGGAAUCAUUGGGUUUAAAGGGUGCGUAGGCUGGUAUUUAAGUCAGUGGUGAAAUUUUCGUGCUUAACAUGAGAGCUGCCAUUGAUACUGGAUACCUUGAGUGUAUUUGAUGUGGGCGGAAUGUGUUGUGUAGCGGUGAAAUGCAUAGAUAUGACACAGAACACCGAUAGCGAAGGCAGCUCACAAAGUUACAACUGACGCUGAUGCACGAAAGCGUGGGGAUCAAACAGGAUUAGAUACCCUGGUAGUCCACGCUGUAAACGAUGAUCACUAGCUGUUGGCGAUAUACAGUCAGUGGCUAAGCUAAAGCGAUAAGUGAUCCACCUGGGGAGUACGUCCGCAAGGAUGAAACUCAAAGGAAUUGACGGGGGCCCGCACAAGCGGAGGAGCAUGUGGUUUAAUUCGAUGAUACGCGAGGACCUUACCUGGGCUUGAACGUAUGGUGCAUUUCAGUGAAAGCUGGA
RNAcentral lists this ribosomal RNA (931 nucleotides) under uncultured bacterium. Its description in RNAcentral is "bacterial SSU rRNA". It matches the Rfam family "Bacterial small subunit ribosomal RNA", at positions 80 to 1012 of the family's 1533-position model. The record is from RNAcentral.